Molecule: long non-coding RNA, 682 nt
Filed under: Ananas comosus (pineapple)
Lineage: Eukaryota; Viridiplantae; Streptophyta; Magnoliopsida; Poales; Bromeliaceae
Description: long non-coding RNA (ACOM_LNC027090)
Source: RNAcentral
CACACAAUCAUAUUAUCUUAAAUUUUAACAAAAAUCAAAUAUUAUAUUUCUUACCAAUAAAUAAAAUAAUAAUAAACAUAAUUUAAUAUUUAAUUAAAACGAUAUACUAACAACAUAAAAAUUAAAAUAAUUUUCAACAAGAAACAAACUAAUUCUUUAACACGUGGUCCAAAUUAAGUAAAAUCUCACUUAAUAUAUAUCUUCUCAAUAGUUGUAAUAUAUGUUAAAGUAGCAAUUUAUUGUUCAACCGAUUUUGAUUUUUUUACACCGAUACACUAGUAAGUAUACCAUAUCGGCAGUUAAAAAUUAUCAAUUUUGAGAUCUUUUCAUCGUAAGAUAAGUGAUGUCCAAAAAUUACAAAAUUUAUUUUCCAAAAGUUUCAAAUACUUUAGAUAAUGUUUAACGCUACGGAUCGUUGUCGAAAGUUCUAUUAUAAAAAAUGACUUAUAAGCUAUGAAGACGAUUGUACUCAUAAAAGUAUAGUAGCCGGACUCCAUCUAUAUAUAGAGAGAAAGAGAGUUGAGUUAGAAUAUUAUCAGUAGUAAAUGGACUCUGUUACUAUCGAUUUGUUUUCAAUAAUACAGCUUCCAAAUUGACGAUUGAUAUCGUGGAUUGUGAUCUAGACUAUUUAAAAUAUCUAAAAAAUGAAAUUUUAAGAACUAGUUCAGAAAUAACGGUCAUA